GUCCCAGCUGUAAACGAUGCAGACUCGGUGAUGCACUGGCUUGUGGCCAGUGCAGUGCCGCAGGGAAGCCGUUAAGUUUGCCGCCUGGGAAGUACGUACGCAAGUAUGAAACUUAAAGGAAUUGGCGGGGGAGCACCACAAGGGGUGAAGCCUGCGGUUCAAUUGGAGUCAACGCCAGAAAUCUUACCCGAAGAGACAGCAGAAUGAAGGUCAAGCCGGAGACUUUACCAGACAAGCUGAGAAGUGGUGCAUGGCCGUCGC
This 261-nucleotide ribosomal RNA is filed under the name uncultured bacterium. RNAcentral's name for it is "partial 16S ribosomal RNA". It matches the Rfam family "Archaeal small subunit ribosomal RNA", at positions 744 to 1004 of the family's 1478-position model. The record is from RNAcentral.